This 655-nucleotide ribosomal RNA is filed under the name uncultured Planctomycetota bacterium. RNAcentral describes it as "bacterial SSU rRNA". It matches the Rfam family "Bacterial small subunit ribosomal RNA", at positions 58 to 713 of the family's 1533-position model. Lineage: Bacteria; Pseudomonadati; Planctomycetota. The record is from RNAcentral.
CAAGUCGAACGAAUCCCUAGGGGCUUGCUCCUAGGGGAAAGUGGCGAAAGGGGCAGUAAGGCGUGGGUAACCUACCCCGGGGACCGGGAUAGCCUUCCUAACGGAAGGGUAAUACCGGGCGAUGUCGUGGCCGCGCAUGUGGCCGCGAUGAGAUGAAUUUCGCCUCGGGAGGGGCUCACGUGGUAUUAGCUUGUUGGUGAGGUAACGGCUCACCAAGGCCGAGAUGCCUAUCGCGUGUGAUAACACCACGACCCGCGCCACUGGCACUGAGACACUGGCCAGACUCCUACGGGAGGCUGCAGUCGAGGAUCUUCGGCAAUGGGCGCAAGCCUGACCGAGCGACGCCGCGUGUGCGAUGAAGGCCUUCGGGUUGUAAAGCACUGUCGAGGGGGAGGAAGCCGAAAGGUUGACCUAUCCCUGGAGGAAGCACGGGCUAAGUUCGUGCCAGCAGCCGCGGCAAGACGAACCGUGCGAACGUUGUUCGGAAUCACUGGGCUUAAAGGGCGCGUANGCGGGCUGUCAAGUCCGGGGUGAAAUCUUUCGGCUUAACCNGAAAAGUGCCUUGGAAUACUGGUAGUCUUGAGGGAGGUAGGGGCAUAUGGAACUUCCGGUGGAGCCGGUGAAAUUGCGUUUAAUUUCGGAAGGGAACGCCGGU